UGAGAGUUUGAUCCUAGCUCAGGGUGAACGCUGGCGGUAUGGAUAAGGCAUGCAAGUCGAGGGGUCCGCAAGGGCACCGGCAGACGAGGUAGUAACACGUAGGAACGUACCCGGAAGUCUCGCACAGCUCGUCGAAAGACGGGGUAAUUCGAGAUGGUGUCGCAAGACUAAAGACAAGUAUUUAUUUAGUUGUCGCUUCCGGAGCGGCCUGCGUUGUAUCACGCUAGUUGGUGAGGUAAUGGCUCACCAAGGCUAUGACGCAUAGGGGACCUGAGAGGGUGACCCCCACCGAUGAUACUGAGACACGGAUCAUACCCCUACGGGGGGCUGCAGCCGAGAAUAUUCGACAAUGGGCGAAAGCCUGAUCGAGCGAUACCGCGUGGUGGAUGAAGCGAUUCGUCGCGUAAACAUCUUUUAUGAGGGAGGAAGUUAUUGACGUUACCUCAUGAAUAAGGGGCUCCUAACUCUGUGCCAGCAGGAGCGGUAAUACAGAGGCCCCAAGCAUUACCCGGAAUUACUGGGCGUAAAGGGUGCGUAGGUGGUCGUAUUAGUCGUCUGUUAAAAACCGGGGCUCAACCCCGGAAAUGCGGGCGAAACGGUACGACUCGAGAGCGUGAGAGGUGCAUAGAACUCUAGGUGUAGGGGUGAAAUCCGUUGAUAUCAUGGGGAACACCGAAAGCGAAGGCAAUGUACUGGCGCGUUCCUGACACUCAAGCACGAAAGCGUGGGUAGCGAACGGGAUCAAGAAAGUAUCUGGUCCCCUCCGAGAGCAAUCUUGGAGCGCAAAACUUCGACAAUCGAAAGAACGUCGAAGCGAGAAAUUUGGCUAUAUGCUGGAAAAACCGAGUAUGGACAACUACUCGCUGAUUGAUGGUAUAUUUAUACUGUCGAUUAGCAGUGAUAAUGUUUGUCCUGCGGUCAAUCAGCAGGGAAGUUAAUCAAAGAAAGAAUAUGAUCGAGGAAAUAAAGCCACGGUCUGAAGCAAUUGAUAGGCAAAAAGUUAAGGAACAUCUAGACAAGGUAAAGGAGCUUGUAGGGGAACUAGAGAAAAAUUCGGCUGUAAAGUUAUACAACGAAUUUCUCUCAACCAAUGCCGCCGAGGCUAGAAAAGCUGCGGUCGGCAUGUUGCCUGACAUGAGCAAUCUGAAAAUGGAAGAGCAUCCAGAUGUUCAGUUGUACCGGAGAACGAAAGACUACCUAAAUCAAUUUUCUGAAUAACCCCUCAGAGACUACACGCCGAACAUCCGCAAGUUGCGGACGAUGAUAUAGUCCGACCUCCAUAGCGAUAUGGAGAUUCAAUCUGCUCUUAUCGGGGGCAAUUGAUCCCAGCACUUUCUAGAAUUCUAAGAAAGUGUGGGGUAACACAAAUGUAGAUACCCCGGUAGUCCACGCCCUAAACUAUGUCAACUGGCUAUUCGGAGUAUCGACCCUCUGAGUGGCGAAGCUAACGCGUUAAGUUGACCGCCUGGGUAGUACGGCCGCAAGGCUAAAACUCAAAGGAAUAGACGGGAGCUUGCACAAGCGGUGGAGCGUGUGGCUCAAUUCGUCGCUAAGCGAAGAACCUUACCAAGGCUAGAAAUCCUACUGCACGCCUGGCGAAAGCUAGGAAGCCUUCGAGGGUGUAGGACAGGUGAUGCAUGGCUGUCGUCAGUUCGUGGUUUGAAUCGUUCCCUUCAGUGGGGUAACGAACGCAACCUUCGUUGCCUGUUACAC
This 1713-nucleotide ribosomal RNA is filed under the name Candidatus Kaiserbacteria bacterium GW2011_GWA2_52_12. RNAcentral describes it as "bacterial SSU rRNA". It matches the Rfam family "Bacterial small subunit ribosomal RNA", at positions 1 to 1120 of the family's 1533-position model. Lineage: Bacteria; Candidatus Kaiseribacteriota. The record is from RNAcentral.